Molecule: ribosomal RNA, 498 nt
Filed under: uncultured bacterium
Lineage: Bacteria
Description: partial 16S ribosomal RNA
Rfam family: Bacterial small subunit ribosomal RNA
Source: RNAcentral
AUUGAACGCUGGCAGCAUGCCUUACACAUGCAAGUCGAACGGUAACAGGUCUUCGGAUGCUGACGAGUGGCGAACGGGUGAGUAAUACAUCGGUACGUGCCUAGUAGUGGGGGAUAACUACUCGAAAGAGUGGCUAAUACCGCAUAAGAUCUACGGAUGAAAGCAGGGGAUCGCAAGACCUUGUGCUACUAGAGCGGCCGAUGGCAGAUUAGGUGGUUGGUGGGAUAAAAGCUUACCAAGCCGACGAUCUGUAGCUGGUGUGAGAGGACGAUCAGCCACACUGGGACUGAGACACGGCCCAGACUCCUACGGGAGGCAGCAGUGGGGAAUUUUGGACAAUGGGCGAAAGCCUGAUCCAGCAAUGCCGCGUGCAGGAUGAAGGCCUUCGGGUUGUAAACUGCUUUUGUACGGAACGAAAAGCCCCGGGUUAAUGCCCUGGGGUCAUGACGGUACCGUAAGAAUAAGCACCGGCUAACUACGUGCCAGCCGCCGCAGUAA